AGUGAACGCUGGCGGUAGGCCUAACACAUGCAAGUCGAACGGCAGCACAGUAAGAGCUUGCUCUUACGGGUGGCGAGUGGCGGACGGGUGAGGAAUACAUCGGAAUCUACUUUUUCGUGGGGGAUAACGUAGGGAAACUUACGCUAAUACCGCAUACGACCUACGGGUGAAAGCAGGGGAUCUUCGGACCUUGCGCGAUUGAAUGAGCCGAUGUCGGAUUAGCUAGUUGGCGGGGUAAAGGCCCACCAAGGCGACGAUCCGUAGCUGGUCUGAGAGGAUGAUCAGCCACACUGGAACUGAGACACGGUCCAGACUCCUACGGGAGGCAGCAGUGGGGAAUAUUGGACAAUGGGCGCAAGCCUGAUCCAGCCAUACCGCGUGGGUGAAGAAGGCCUGCGGGUUGUAAAGCCCUUUUGUUGGGAAAGAAAAGCAGCAGGUUAAUACCCCGCUGUUCUGACGGUACCCAAAGAAUAAGCACCGGCUACUUCGUG
This 491-nucleotide ribosomal RNA is filed under the name uncultured bacterium. RNAcentral describes it as "partial 16S ribosomal RNA". It matches the Rfam family "Bacterial small subunit ribosomal RNA", at positions 29 to 507 of the family's 1533-position model. The record is from RNAcentral.